RNAcentral lists this ribosomal RNA (156 nucleotides) under Phialocephala fortinii. Its description in RNAcentral is "5.8S ribosomal RNA". It matches the Rfam family "5.8S ribosomal RNA". Rfam says of the family: 5.8S ribosomal RNA (5.8S rRNA) is a component of the large subunit of the eukaryotic ribosome. It is transcribed by RNA polymerase I as part of the 45S precursor that also contains 18S and 28S rRNA. The record is from RNAcentral. Lineage: Eukaryota; Fungi; Ascomycota; Leotiomycetes; Helotiales; Mollisiaceae.
AACUUUCAACAACGGAUCUCUUGGUUCUGGCAUCGAUGAAGAACGCAGCGAAAUGCGAUAAGUAAUAAGAAUUGCAGAAUUCAGUGAAUCAUCGAAUCUUUGAACGCACAUUGCGCCCUGUGGUAUUCCGCAGGGCAUGCCUGUUCGAGCGUCAUU